Molecule: ribosomal RNA, 435 nt
Filed under: uncultured bacterium
Lineage: Bacteria
Description: bacterial SSU rRNA
Rfam family: Bacterial small subunit ribosomal RNA
Source: RNAcentral
ACGCGAAGAACCUUACCAGCCCUUGACAUCCCGGUCGCGGGAACCAGAGAUGGAUCCCUUCAGUUCGGCUGGACCGGAGACAGGUGCUGCAUGGCUGUCGUCAGCUCGUGUCGUGAGAUGUUGGGUUAAGUCCCGCAACGAGCGCAACCCUCGCCCUUAGUUGCCAUCAUUCAGUUGGGCACUCUAAGGGGACUGCCGGUGAUAAGCCGCGAGGAAGGUGGGGAUGACGUCAAGUCCUCAUGGCCCUUACGGGCUGGGCUACACACGUGCUACAAUGGCGGUGACAGUGGGACGCAAUGGAGCAAUCCUGCGCAAAUCUCAAAAAGCCGUCUCAGUUCGGAUUGUGCUCUGCAACUCGAGCACAUGAAGUUGGAAUCGCUAGUAAUCGCAGAUCAGCACGCUGCGGUGAAUACGUUCCCGGGUCUGUACACACCG